AGACGAACACACCCAUUUCAUUUUCCAAUCAUUCUCGCUUGCCCUAGAUCAUUCCCGUCGCGAUUCUUCUCUCAACAAAAUCGACGCCCCUGCCGCCGCUCAAGGAGCUGCCGACGGAUGACUUCUUCUCCCCCGCAUAGAUGAAGAUAAAUAUUUGGAUUUUGUGUAUGGCGGAAGUGUCAUUAUAUGAAUGUCAACUUCAUCAACAACAACCGGCAUCACUAAGUGUUUGUAUGGACGUCGGAGUGUCGUUAGAACAUCAUGGACAAAUGAAAAUCCAGGACGCAGGUUUAAUUCUUGCGGGAAGUAUCGUGUAAGUAUGAAAAAAUUAUUUAGUUUUGUUCAAGUUAUGUAGUUCGAGUGUUAUUUAGUUUCUUUGUAUUGGAUUCUCAACGAGGUGGAAAAGGUGGGUGUGGAUACUUUUCCUGGGAAGAUCCCCCAAUGUGUGCACGUGCCAAGGCCAUUAUUCCUGGCGUGUUGAGAAAAUUAAAUGACAAAGAUUCAGAAAUCUUGAGGUUGAAGCAGCGUAACCAAAUGUUAUUUAGAAUCAUUGUUGGUAGUUGUUUUUUUAUUACGGCGUUUUGCGGCUAUGUUUUGAAGGUCUGGCUUCAAAUAUGAUGAAAAAAAUAGAAGUCUGUUGAGGCAACGUAAUAGGCUUCUUGUAUUUUAUGUCUCGGAUUGUAUGUUGUUAUCCUUUGUUUGUUCCAUUUUAUGUUGCAUUACUCUAGUAGAAUGUUUGUCUAACUAGCUUUGUAAUACAUUGUAAUGCCAUGAAAAGACUGUUUGUUUUGAAUGAUCAUGGUUUCAUAAGAAA
Andrographis paniculata is the source of this 814-nucleotide long non-coding RNA. RefSeq lists it as uncharacterized. The transcript has 3 exons. The record is from RefSeq and is a predicted model, not a curated record. NCBI's taxonomy places the organism in Eukaryota, Viridiplantae, Streptophyta, Magnoliopsida, Lamiales, Acanthaceae.